UGAGUAACCUGCCCUUCACUUCGGGAUAACUCCGGGAAACCGGGGCUAAUACCGGAUAUGACCUGUGCGCGCAUGCGUGUGGGUGGAAAGAUUUAUUGGUGGGGGAUGGGCUCGCGGCCUAUCAGCUUGUUGGUGAGGUAGUGGCUUACCAAGGCGGCGACGGGUAGCCGGCCUGAGAGGGCGACCGGCCACACUGGGACUGAGAUACGGCCCAGACUCCGUACGGGAGGCA
This 232-nucleotide ribosomal RNA is filed under the name uncultured bacterium. RNAcentral's name for it is "partial 16S ribosomal RNA". It matches the Rfam family "Bacterial small subunit ribosomal RNA", at positions 118 to 350 of the family's 1533-position model. The record is from RNAcentral.